GUUGCGGUUAAAAAGCUCGUAGUUGGAUCUCGGUGCCGGACCGGCGGUCCGCCUCGUGCGNUCUCACUGCCGGCCCCGGAGCCAUCCCGCCGGCCGUCCCUAGGUGCUCUUUGCUGAGUGUCUUGGGUGACCGGAACGUUUACUUUGAACAAAUUAGAGUGCUCCAAGCAGGCGCNUCCCGCCCGCAUAGCCCAGCAUGGAAUAAUGGAAUAGGACCUCGGUUCUAUUUUGUUGGUUUUCGGAACCCGAGGUAAUGAUUNAAAGGAACAGACGGGGGCAUUCGUAUUGCGACGCUAGAGGUGAAAUUCUUGGACCGUCGCAAGACGAACUACUGCGAAAGCAUUUGCCAAGNAUGUUUUCAUUAAUCAAGAACGAAAGUUAGAGGUUCGAAGGCGAUCAGAUACCGCCCUAGUUCUAACCAUAAACGAUGCCGACCAGCGAUCCGCCGGAGUUCCUUCGAUGACUCGGCGGGCAGCUUCCGGGAAACCAAAGUNUUUGGGUUCCGGGGGAAGUAUGGUUGCAAAGCUGNNNCUUNAAGGAAUUGACGGAAGGGCACCACCAGGAGUGGAGCCUGCGGCUUAAUUUGACUCAACACGGGAAAACUCACCCGGCCCGGACACCGGAAGGAUUGACAGAUUGAGAGCUCUUUCUUGAUUCGGUGGGUGGUGGUGCAUGGCCGUUCUUAGUUGGUGGAGCGAUUUGUCUGGUUAAUUCCNAUAACGAACNAGACUCUAGCCUGCUAAAUAGACAACNGAUCCNGGGGUGCCGGUA
RNAcentral lists this ribosomal RNA (771 nucleotides) under Lithobius peregrinus. RNAcentral describes it as "SSU rRNA". It matches the Rfam family "Eukaryotic small subunit ribosomal RNA", at positions 612 to 1382 of the family's 1831-position model. The record is from RNAcentral. Lineage: Eukaryota; Metazoa; Arthropoda; Chilopoda; Lithobiomorpha; Lithobiidae.